GACAGAGGCCUCAAGCGUUAGGCGGAAUCACUGGGCUUAAAGCGUGUGUAGGCGGAUGCCUAAGUACCUUGUGAAAUCCCACGGCUCAACCGCACAAGGGCCUUGGAUACUGCCGGCCUCGAGGGAGGUAGGGGCGUGCGGAACUUCCGGUGGAGCGGUGAAAUGCGUAGAUAUCGGAAGGAACACCGGUGGCGAAAGCGGCACGCUGGGCCUCUUCUGACGCUGAGGCGCGAAAGCCAGGGGAGCAAACGGG
RNAcentral lists this ribosomal RNA (253 nucleotides) under uncultured bacterium. Its description in RNAcentral is "partial 16S ribosomal RNA". It matches the Rfam family "Bacterial small subunit ribosomal RNA", at positions 524 to 776 of the family's 1533-position model. The record is from RNAcentral.